Molecule: ribosomal RNA, 490 nt
Filed under: uncultured bacterium
Lineage: Bacteria
Description: bacterial SSU rRNA
Rfam family: Bacterial small subunit ribosomal RNA
Source: RNAcentral
AGUCUCUUGUGAAAUCCUAUGGCUUAACCAUAGAACUGCUUGGGAAACUGAUAAUCUAGAGUGAGGGAGAGGCAGAUGGAAUUGGUGGUGUAGGGGUAAAAUCCGUAGAGAUCACCAGGAAUACCCAUUGCGAAGGCGAUCUGCUGGAACUCAACUGACGCUAAUGCGUGAAAGCGUGGGGAGCAAACAGGAUUAGAUACCCUGGUAGUCCACGCCCUAAACGAUGUAUACUAGUUGUUGCUAAGCUAGUCUUGGCAGUAAUGCACCUAACGGAUUAAGUAUACCGCCUGGGGAGUACGGUCGCAAGAUUAAAACUCAAAGGAAUAGACGGGGACCCGCACAAGCGGUGGAGCAUGUGGUUUAAUUCGAAGAUACGCGAAGAACCUUACCCGGACUUGAUAUCUAACAAAUCAUCUAGAGAUAGAAGAGUGUCUGCUUGCAGAAAUGUUAAGACAGGUGCUGCACGGCUGUCGUCAGCUCGUGUCGUGAG